RNAcentral lists this long non-coding RNA (1192 nucleotides) under Mytilus galloprovincialis (Mediterranean mussel). Lineage: Eukaryota; Metazoa; Mollusca; Bivalvia; Mytilida; Mytilidae. The record is from RNAcentral.
CUUUUCUUAACUCUACCGUUCUUUAACAGGUCAUGUUCAGUUUUAGUCACCAAGUUUUCUUUUUAAUAAUAUUCUUAAAUAUAUAAUCACAUGCAUAGUAACUGUUUAAAAACAGAUAGCCUUCUAGUAAUUAUGGACGUCAAAUGUAACGUAAAAGUCAAAGCAUGCUCUUACCUGUUUUGUAUCUUUCUGAUUAUUUCCGUGAUUUGAAACGUCAUUGUUAAGAUGAUUUUACAUGUAACAUUAUCUCUAUAUCAUGCACAUUUAUCAUUACUUCGUAGGGAUACCUGGUCAAUCAAUUCUGUACAAUUGUUUACAUUGAAAGGUCAACUUUGUUAUUCCAGUACAAUUGCCGUAAAGCAAGUAUCGAUUGUCGUUAAACGUGUCAAAGACGUAACGUUUCGAGUCUUUUAGAGUCGAAACGUCAUUUUCUAGUCGAAAUUUAGGUAUAAAAGAGCGUGCGUAUUGCAUUGUUUCAGUUGUGGUUCAACUGGGCAUAAGGCAACAGCUAGCCAAAAGCCUACUUCUAACUGCUAUAAUAAAGCAACUUUAGGAGUCUUUCUGACCUUUUCCAUUAUAAAAACAACGUGAUAAAUUUCAAGGUUAGCUUAUUUAAAAGGCUUUUUCGAGUCAUUAAAGUCAAUAUUCUGACUCCAUUUCUGUUGACGUAAUAUACUUAACGACUCGUUACCAGAGUCUUUAAUUUAAUUAUAAAAUAAAAGACACUAUUCAGUUUUAAAGAACUAUUAACGGUCUACGUGACCUUCCGGCAUAUUCACACAAUACUUCCAUACAUAUUUUUGGUAUAAAAGUUUAUGCUUUCUAAUCCGAUUUCUAUACGAAAAGGUAUUCAGAGAAACGUGUAAUUUAGGUAUCCAAUACAAAUAGCUAUACAGAUCUAUUGAAAAGGUCUCUAUUGUUUCUCUAUACGCGUUCGAUUAUUACAUAGUUUAGGAACACAUCAUACGUUAUUGUAAUUCCGCCGAUUUUCUAAGUUAGGAUAUAAUAGCUCAAAGCUAGUCAUUUUUAUUAUAUUGCUAAGUAUUGAUUUUAUUUGUAUUGUUUGACCAGGAACAUCCCUACGAUUUGCUUGCUUAAUCUUGGUGACUAUUAAAAUAUUAAGUAAUCAGUUACAUUUGUUGAAGUUAAUAACAUUAUAUUUUAUAACAACAUAAAAUAUUUGUCUCAUAAA